RNAcentral lists this long non-coding RNA (410 nucleotides) under Rattus norvegicus (Norway rat). Its description in RNAcentral is "long non-coding RNA NONRATT000024". The record is from RNAcentral. Lineage: Eukaryota; Metazoa; Chordata; Mammalia; Rodentia; Muridae.
AGAUGGCAUCAUUCCUGUAAUUUUUGAGGAGCGCUUAAGGCAAAUGGGAACCUGGCUGAAAGUCAACGGGGAAGCUAUUUAUGAAACACAUACUUGGAGGUCUCAGAACGACACCGUCACUCCUGACGUGUGGUAGAACUACUGGGCCACGGACGGCCACUGACUUGGACAUCUUCAAAGCCAAGCGGCAUUGUGGUGGAGUUGCCCCGGCUAAGCGUUCAUCAGAUGCCCUGUAAAUGGGGAUGGACUCUGGCACUAACCAAUGUCACUUAACCUGCAGCAGACAGAUGCGUUCUACAGGAGCCUCUAACCACAGGAAACGUCAGGGUUUCCUUUUUUUGUUGUUGUUGUUGUUACACUAAAGAGACUAAAUGAUAUAAAAAUGAUAUAAAAACUGAAGCCAUUACGCG